AACGAUUGACAAGCGCCAGAGCUUGCUGAUGGAGAUGACGGUCGCGUCAUAAAGGCAAGCUGACGAGGUGGAGGUGUUCGAACAUGUUCGGCGGGGACCUCCCGGUUACGCAUUCGAACCGUAAGCCGAUACGUCAAAAGGAGACGGGCAACCGCUCUGACAAACGUUCGGCGGAAUGCGC
This 181-nucleotide non-coding RNA is filed under the name Paenibacillus sp. RNAcentral's name for it is "GlcN6P sequence". It matches the Rfam family "glmS glucosamine-6-phosphate activated ribozyme aptamer". Rfam says of the family: This entry contains a glucosamine-6-phosphate activated ribozyme that is found in the mRNA for GlmS. GlmS is an enzyme that uses fructose-6-phosphate and glutamine to generate glucosamine-6-phosphate. RNAcentral also lists the same sequence under 1 other name. The record is from RNAcentral. Lineage: Bacteria; Bacillati; Bacillota; Bacilli; Caryophanales; Paenibacillaceae.